RNAcentral lists this small RNA (28 nucleotides) under Bombyx mori (domestic silkworm). RNAcentral's name for it is "ovarian small RNA-35409". Lineage: Eukaryota; Metazoa; Arthropoda; Insecta; Lepidoptera; Bombycidae. The record is from RNAcentral.
UGUACGCCCACUACAUGAGUACCACAGU